RNAcentral lists this ribosomal RNA (465 nucleotides) under uncultured bacterium. RNAcentral describes it as "partial 16S ribosomal RNA". It matches the Rfam family "Bacterial small subunit ribosomal RNA", at positions 28 to 507 of the family's 1533-position model. The record is from RNAcentral.
GACGAACGCUGGCGGCGUGCUUAACACAUGCAAGUCGAACGGAAAGGCCCUGCUUGCCGGGUACUCGAGUGGCGAACGGGUGAGUAACACGUGGGUGAUCUGCCCUGCACUUCGGGAUAAGCCUGGGAAACUGGGUCUAAUACCGGAUAGGAGCCAUUUUUAGUGUGAUGGUUGGAAAGUUUUUUCGGUGUAGGAUGAGCUCGCGGCCUAUCAGCUUGUUGGCGGGGUAAUGGCCUACCAAGGCGGCGACGGGUAGCCGGCCUGAGAGGGUGGACGGCCACAUUGGGACUGAGAUACGGCCCAGACGCCUACGGGAGGCAGCAGUGGGGAAUAUUGCACAAUGGGCGCAAGCCUGAUGCAGCGACGCCGCGUGGGGGAUGACGGCCUUCGGGUUGUAAACGCCUUUCGCUAGGGACGAAGCUUUUUGUGACGGUACCUAGAGAAGAAGCACCGGCUAACUACGUG